This 253-nucleotide ribosomal RNA is filed under the name uncultured bacterium. Its description in RNAcentral is "partial 16S ribosomal RNA". It matches the Rfam family "Bacterial small subunit ribosomal RNA", at positions 524 to 776 of the family's 1533-position model. The record is from RNAcentral.
UACGUAGGGUGCAAGCGUUAAUCGGAAUUACUGGGCGUAAAGCGUGCGCAGGCGGUUGUGUAAGACAGAUGUGAAAUCCCCGGGCUCAACCUGGGAACUGCAUUUGUGACUGCACAGCUGGAGUGCGGCAGAGGGGGAUGGAAUUCCGCGUGUAGCAGUGAAAUGCGUAGAUAUCGGGAGGAACAUCAGUGGCGAAGGCGGCCCUCUGGUCCAGUACUGACACUCAAGUGCGAAAGCGUGGGGAGCAAACAGG